This 254-nucleotide unclassified non-coding RNA is filed under the name Hevea brasiliensis (rubber tree). Lineage: Eukaryota; Viridiplantae; Streptophyta; Magnoliopsida; Malpighiales; Euphorbiaceae. The record is from RNAcentral.
UGAUCGUCCAUUGAUCGCCUUUUUCAAAUGGUGUUUGAUCAAAGUAGGGUUGGUCUCAUCUCAAAGGUUUCAUCAUGUUGAGUUCAAUGGUGUUAUCGGAUUAUCGAUCCAAUGCUUGGAUUGCCAGAAAUCUCAUUGAAAAACCACUAAAAUCCCAUUUUCUCUAUCAUCUUCCCCUUGCUAAAUCUCCUCCUUCCAACCACCAUAACACGCAAGGCUGGUAUAGAAAUAAAGCUGGGUUCACAAGGAGUCAA